GCCUUGAGUUCAGGUCAGGGCAGUGUCUCUGUUCUAUUAAACUCAGAGACAUCAAACUGACCAGGGUAGCUGACUGCUAGAAAAUAUUACUCUAUUCACUUACCUCCUAGCCAUAAAAA
RNAcentral lists this small nucleolar RNA (119 nucleotides) under Cervus elaphus hippelaphus. The record is from RNAcentral. RNAcentral also lists the same sequence under 1 other name. Lineage: Eukaryota; Metazoa; Chordata; Mammalia; Artiodactyla; Cervidae.